GACGAACGCUGGCGGCGUGCUUAACACAUGCAAGUCGAACGGAAAGGCCCUGCUUUUGUUGGGUGCUCGAGUGGCGAACGGGUGAGUAACACGUGAGUAACCUGCCCUUGACUUUGGGAUAACUUUAGGAAACUGUGGCUAAUACCGCAUAGGAGCUCCUGCUGCAUGGCGUGGGCUGGAAAGUUUCGGUGGUUGGGGUAGGACUUGCGGCUUAGGAGUUUUUUGGUGGGGUAGUGGAUUACCAAGGCCUUGACGGGUAGCCGGACUGGGAGGGUGACCGGGCACAGAGGGACUGAGGUACCGGCAGGAGGGAUACGGGAGGAAGCGGUGGAGAAUAGUGCGAGAAGGGCGGAGGCAGGAAGGAGCGACGCCGGGUGGGGGAUGACGGCCGUAGGGUUGGAACCAGCUUUAGACUGUGACGAAGCGUGAGUGACGGUAAUGGGUAAAGAAGCAACGGCUAACUACGUG
RNAcentral lists this ribosomal RNA (468 nucleotides) under uncultured bacterium. RNAcentral's name for it is "partial 16S ribosomal RNA". It matches the Rfam family "Bacterial small subunit ribosomal RNA", at positions 28 to 507 of the family's 1533-position model. The record is from RNAcentral.